AAUUUGGGACAAUGGGGGAAACCCUGAUACAGCCAUCCCGCGUGUAUGAUGAAGGNCUNNGGGUUNUNAAGUACUUUUGGCAGNNNNNGAAAGGUAUCCCCUAAUACGGGAUACUGCUGACGGUAUCUGCAGAAUAAGCACCGGAUACCUACGUGCCAGCCGCCGCGGUAAUACGUAGGGUGCAAGCGGUAAUCGGAGUUACUGGGCGUAAAGCGUGUAUAGUCGGUUCGGAAAGAAAGAUGUGACAUCCCAGGGCUCAACCUUGGAACUGCAUUUUUAACUGCCGAGAUAGAGGAUGUCAGAGGAGGGUAGAAUUCCACGUGUAGCAGUGAAAUGCGUAGAUAUGUGGAGGAAUACCGAUGGCGAAGGCAGCCCCCUGCGAUAAUACCGACGCUCAGACACGAAAGCGUGGGGAGCAAACAG
Molecule: ribosomal RNA, 423 nt
Filed under: uncultured bacterium
Lineage: Bacteria
Description: partial 16S ribosomal RNA
Rfam family: Bacterial small subunit ribosomal RNA
Source: RNAcentral